UGCUGUAUUUUGUGGAAUUAAGAUGAGAAAACCAAUCAUUUUGAACACUUUCUAUUUUAAGUAGGCUUUCAAACAAACCCUAAGGAUAUGUGAUAUAUAACCGUAUGUAGAUGAUAUUGUUGAUAAUAGUAUAUAAAUUGGGAUUUUGUUGGCAGUAUUUGGCGGCACUAUCUAAAUUAUCCUUAAAUCAUCAAGUUGUUUUUGUUUUCAUUUUACCAUAUACAACGGUGUAUCAGGAAUAACUAUCAUGUUAUAUUGGCCGAUCCACUCAAUCAAAUGAAAAAGUUUUUGCUUUAAGCAUUUCCAUAUCUAUAAUCCUGACGACAGUUAUAAUUAAAAAAUCAAAAGAUUUGUACUAAAGAUACAGCUAAACGGACAAAAUAAAAACACUGAAUGUCCCUCUGGGCCGAAGUGUCCAUAAAACGUAAAUAUCAUUUAAACAAGAUAUUGAUUUGGUUUUUUGCAAUGAAAGGAACGGUCUAUAGAUUAUGUAUUUUUCAAUAAAACAUGAAAACACUUUAGGUUCUGUAACCAUAAGGGCAUCGUCCGUCAUUGAAUGCUAAACAUUUGAUGAAUUUGUUUGGUUUCUUUGUGCAACACUAUCUGCAACAAUCGAGACAUUUGUUUCAUAUCUAUAGAAUACUGAGGACAGUUAACAUAAUAGUAUAUCAAAAGAAAACAAGAAGGAUGUAAAAUUAAGUGAUUGCAUAACAUUUUACCAAAAAAAAAAUAUUUAGAUUGGGGAUAAUGUCAUGGUAUG
This 760-nucleotide long non-coding RNA is filed under the name Mytilus galloprovincialis (Mediterranean mussel). Lineage: Eukaryota; Metazoa; Mollusca; Bivalvia; Mytilida; Mytilidae. The record is from RNAcentral.